This 615-nucleotide ribosomal RNA is filed under the name Micromus sp. YW-2016. RNAcentral's name for it is "12S ribosomal RNA". The record is from RNAcentral. Lineage: Eukaryota; Metazoa; Arthropoda; Insecta; Neuroptera; Hemerobiidae.
CCAGCAACCGCGGUUAUACAAAUUAUGAAAAUAAAUUAUUUUAGUUUAUAGUUAUUUAAUAUUUUAAUAAAAUUAAAAAUUAAAUUUUUAGGUUAAAUUAUAAAUUUAAUAUUAAUUUUUAAUAAAAAUAAUAAAGCUAUUAAAUCUUUAAAAUAAACUAGGAUUAGAUACCCUACUAUAAAAAAUGUAAUAUAUUAAAAACUUAGGUAGUAUUAGAUAUAAUCUUGAAACUUAAAAAAUUUGGCGGUGUUUUAAUCUAUUUAGAGGAACCUGUUCUAUAAUUGAUAAACCACGUUAAAUUUUACUAAAUUUUAUUAAAUUUGUAUACCGUCGUUAUCAGAUUAUUUUAAAAGAAAAUAAUAUUCAAAAAAUUUUAUAAAAUUUUAUUUCAGAUCAAGGUGCAGUUUAUAAUUUAGAAGAAAUGGGUUACAAUAAAGUUAUUUAAAUGGAUAAAUUAUUGAAAUAUAAUUUUUAAAGUGGAUUUAAUAGUAAUAUUAAUAAAAUAAUUAUUAUGAUUUUAGUUCUAAAACAUGUACAUAUCGCCCGUCGCUCUUUCUUUUAAAGAAAGAUAAGUCGUAACAAAGUAGAUGUACUGGAAAGUGUAUCUAGAAUGAU